RNAcentral lists this ribosomal RNA (206 nucleotides) under uncultured bacterium. Its description in RNAcentral is "partial 16S ribosomal RNA". It matches the Rfam family "Bacterial small subunit ribosomal RNA", at positions 568 to 774 of the family's 1533-position model. The record is from RNAcentral.
UGCGCAGGCGGCACGUUAAGUCAAUUGUUAAAUUCCCCAGCCUAACUGGGGCUCAGCAAUAGAAACUGGCGCGCUAGAGGGUGGAAGAGAGAAGUGGAAUUCUCGGAGUAGCGGUAAAAUGCGUAGAUCUCGAGAGGAACACCGAUGGCGAAGGCAGCUUCUUGGUCCAUUUCUGACGCUCAUGCACGAAAGCGUGGGAGCAAACA